RNAcentral lists this long non-coding RNA (8010 nucleotides) under Triticum aestivum (bread wheat). Its description in RNAcentral is "long non-coding RNA (TAES_LNC006995)". The record is from RNAcentral. Lineage: Eukaryota; Viridiplantae; Streptophyta; Magnoliopsida; Poales; Poaceae.
CCCCCAACUCUAUAUAUAGGACCCCAUCUCCUCACUUUGAGACUUAGCAUUGGAUUAGCUCAUAUUUGUGUGAGAGCCUUUGCUCAUCCACUCGGUUACUUCUCCUCGGAGAUCAGGACCUCUUCGGAGAAGAUCCCCCAGCGGAUUCAAGACCCCUAUCUAGGGAAGAACAUCAAGGCCUCCUCUUGGAGAUGAACGGUUCCUUUGUAUCCUUACCUUUGUUGACUUUGUAUCUUGUGGAUCUCUUAUGUGUGUGGUGAUCUAGCACUUGUGUGAUCGAUUCCUUGUUGGUUGAGUGAUUCUCUCUCGUUCUCCCCGUGUUUCCCCUCAUGCUUCCACGUGUUCUUCGUGAUUCCUCCGUAGGAUCCCCUCCAAACGUGAAAGAUCGACGCUAUAGGGUUCCACCCUACAUCAUAUGGUAUCAUGAGCCAGGUUGAUCACGUUUUUGGAGCCCCUACCCCAUGUUUUCUAGCUUGAUUUUGUUGUUUUCGUCCUAAAUCCAAAAAUCCCCACCAAAAAUAACCCCCAUAUUUUUUGUGAUUUGUUAGUUUUGAUGAUGUUUUGUUGUUUUUGAUCCGUGGAUUCGGUGUGUAACUCAUGGAUCUUGCUUUUCCCCACCUUCUCCCCCUCGAAAUCCAUCCAAAAUCCCCGAAAUCGUCAAAUUUCAUCCCGUUUUCGUGUUCUUCCCGAGCAGUUCCCGAGAGCGGUUGACCUGCCCGGAUCAUCCGGACCCUGGCCCGGAUCAUCCGGACGCGCCCGGAUCAUCCGGACCCUGGCCCGGAUCAUCCGGACGCGCCCGGAUCAUCCGGCUCCUGCCCCAGAUCAUCCGGCUUCCGCUAUCGAAGCUGCAGUUCUGCAGUCCCCCUCCACCACCACCUCCGCCUACACCUACAUUACACCUCCCCACUCCAACCACCACCACUUCCACUUGCCAAAACCCCAAGACACAAACUCCGUACUACCAUUCGAAUUUGAGUUCGAGAAUUUGAGUUGAGAUUUCCGUGUCCUAUUGUGUUUCGGCUAUUUAGGCGCGGUCCGACAUCAACAACAACACUCAUUUUGAUCGACUACUCAUCUUCGCUAUGGACGGUAACCUCGACGACAUCUUUGUCAUACCUUGCAAUUGCAUUGAUAACCAUCAUAGACCAUCUUUUGUGUUGCUUACCUAUCGAGACUAGCCAUUGAGUAUUGCCGGCAACGUGACUUGUGCACAUUAGUUGCAUACACCAUAUCAUACAUACCAUCGUGGUGCACAUCUCGGAAUCAACUUGUGUGUCACAAAGUUGUCAUCGCAUACAAAAUUGCUAUCUUGGUUCUUCUAGUUUGCAUAAGAAAGGAGCUCAAAAGAGAAAGAGCCACUCAAGCUUUUAAGCAAAGAGGAAAGAUAAGCAAAGAGCUUAUAAGCAACAAGCAUAGCAUCAUACAACAUUAAGAUUGUCAUAUAAGAUCAUCUUGGAUCAUUGCACCAAAAUACCAUACAUAUAGCAUACUUGGGAUAGAGAUCGUUGCAUUUUUGCCUAGUAGGUUGUGCACAAGCUCCGUAUCCGCCUAUUGUGCAAUUGUGCUAGCGUCUCUCUAGUAUUGUGCAACAAGAGCAUUUUCGUGGAUUCCACAUUUUGGCUCACUUUUGGUUUGCACAAUCCCAUUUAUCUAUUUGCGUGUGUGUUUCCGUGUACCACUACUUGCUUGGUCUACUUGUUGCAUAUGCGAAUUUGCGAAUCUUCUUCAACAUUUUUGAGUCAAGCUAACGAUUGCAAUCAAUUUUGUGCCACCAUCCUAACCAAGCUCCACCAAAGGCAUUUACUUGUGUAGGUGUGAGAAUCGACAAGGAUCGGUACCAAUAGUGCUAUUUCAUUGUCCGCAUUUGAGUGAACUUGAUUCAUCUUCAACUUCGGUAAAAGGUAUAUUGGUAUUCGUUCUUCUCCUUCUACCACUCACAAUUUCCUUGAAAUGAUGGAUAGGCCAAGUUCUUCUACAAAUCCACUCUUCAUCGAACAAGACGACGACAUGUCAUCAUACGUCACCAAGAACCACCUCUUUGCCGCACAACGAGCUCUCCAUCAAGAGCAACAAGCAAUGAGCGAACGCAUCGACAACAAGCUCGACGCGCACACGAAAGAGAAUGAUGCAAGAAUGGACGAGCUCCGCGCCUUGUUGGUGAACCGGCGUCCUUCUACUUCCUCACACUCAAGACAGAGCCACUCAAGUUGCCACUCCGACGACUCCUUCUCCGGCACAAGUACACCAUCAUCGAACACUCUUCGACGAGCAGCGCGUAAAGACCGUCAUGGAUCUCGCAACCCGCUACACGACAAGCAUCCCCAAGGGCAAGUUGAUGAACAAGUUCCUCGUCCACAAUCAAACCAAGUAGAGUUUGCUCAAACUCAAGAACGACAACGUCUUCGUCGCCAACAAGAACAAGAACGAGCGCGCCUACACCAAGGGCAACAAGACGCCGAGGCACAACGUCUUCAACAACAACAACGAGAAGCACAAGAUCUUGAGGCGGAACGUGCCCUUCAAGCAUCAAGUCGAGCUAUCGCCAACUGCAAUCGCGAAAGGUGCAAUCAGUAAGAAGCCCUUCGAGAAGAAAUACAAGAGAGGAACUACCAUCCGCGUGCGCAACGUCAAGCCCCACAAGCUCCUCAAGCUCAACCACAACCUCACGGUCAACAAGAGCAAGUGGAUAAUGGACUUCCUCCUCGCCAAGAGCAACAUGAGGAUGAUUACCAUCCACGUCAAGAACGUCAUCAUCAACAUCGACCUCAACACAAUGAAGAGCAACGCUAUGGCAAGCUCAAAUUCACAAUGCCCAAGUUCAAUGGAAGCAAUGACCCCGAAGAGUACCUCUCAUGGGCAUUGAAGGUCGACAAAAUCUUUCGUUUGCACAACUAUGAGGAAGAGAAGAAGAUCGCUAUGGCAUCACUUGAGUUCCAAGACUAUGUGCUCAUAUGGUGGGAACAAGUCCUUGAGCGCCGACAAGCAAGAGGCGAACCUCAAAUCACCACUUGGGCUCAAAUGAAGGAUGUCAUGCGAGCACGUUUUGUGCCCACCUACUACAACCGUGAUCUAUUCAAGAAGCUACAACUCCUCAAGCAAGGAACAAAGAGUGUUGAAGAAUACUACCAGGAAAUGGAGAUUGCCAUGAUUCGAGCCAAUGUCACGGAAGACGAUGAGCAAACAAUGGCACGAUUGUUGAAUGGACUCAAUCAUCCCAUCAAGAAGAUCGCCGACUUCCAACCCUACUCCAACCUCAUUGAGCUCGUGCAUCAAGCUACAAAGGCGGAACGUCAAGUGCAAGAUGACUUCAAGUAUGCCAAGUAUUCCUCCAAGACACACGGCUUCUCCAACAACCAAGCUUCAACAACUACUCCAACUUCGACAUCAACCAAGCCUUCUCCAAGCAACGACGACAAGUCAAGUUACAAGAAAACUUCCACAAGUAAAAGUCGUCUUCCUCCUACUACAAGCAACCUCAAGCCGCGUGAUUCAUCAUCUACUCCAACCGAUGAGACCGUCAAGACAAGAUCCUUUAAGUGCUUCACUUGCGGCGGCCGAGGCCACAAGUCCUAUGAGUGCACCAACAAGCGCACCAUGAUCCUCAACGAUGAUGGCACCUACGACUCAAUGAGUGAGGAUGAAAUGGAAGCUAUUGAGCAAGUGGCCAUGCACCGACGCGUGAACAAGGAUGAAGAUGAUCAAGUCUUUUGUGAUGAAGAUACGAGCCCCGCUCUUGUUGUCUCCAAGGUCUUGACACUUCAACAUCAACAAGAAGAGGACCAACGAUGCCACAUCUUUCACACAAAGGCCGGCAUCAAUGGACGAUCCGUCAAGGUCAUCAUCGAUGGAGGUAGUUGCCACAACUUGGCAAGCGAAGAACUAUGCUCCAAGCUUCAUUUGGUCAAGAAGAAGUACCCGCACCCCUACAAGGUUCAAUGGCUAAGUGACUCCGGCACUAUACGAUUUGAGAAUACGGUCCAAGUAUCCUUCAAAAUAGGUGCAUAUGAGGACACUUUGGAGUGUGAUGUGGUCCCAAUGACCGUUUGCCACCUCCUCCUUGGUCGGCCAUGGCAAUUUGACCGUGGUGUCUACCACAAUGGGCGUACAAACCACUAUACCUUCAAGAUGAAAGGAAAAGCAUAUGUCCUACGACCCAUGUCUCCUAGUCAAGUGAUAGCCGACAAACAAGCCACCAACCAAAGAGAGAAGAGUGAGAAAGUGAGCCACCAAAAAGUGAGUGAGAGCCACAAGCCAAACUUGAGCGCCUCUUCGCCUAGAGAGAAAAACCUCAUACUAUUCGCCACCAAACAUGAGAUGAGAGAAGUGUGUGAGAACCCAUCGAGUGUGAUGCACUUUGUCCUUGUGUGCAAGGAUGGAGCAACAAAAACUAACACCAUUCACGAGCUACCUUUGGUGUUUCAAUCUCUUUUGCAGGAAUUUCAAGAUGUUUUCCCCGAUGAGCUACCUCCGGGUCUACCUCCUCUACGAGGCAUUGAGCAUCGAAUCGACCUCAUCCCCGGAGCGCCACUUCCAAACAAAGCUCCAUACCGUGUCAAUCCAGAAGAAACCAAGGAGAUUCAACGGCAAGUACAACAACUACUCGACAACGGUCAUGUACGUGAAAGCUUAAGCCCUUGUGCCGUUCCCGUUAUACUUGUGCCUAAGCCCGAUGGAAGUUUCCGCUUGUGCUCUGAUUGUAGACCUAUUAAUGCUAUCACCGUUCGCUAUAGGCAUCCCAUUCCUCGCUUAGAUGAUAUGCUUGAUGAACUUAGUGGAGCCAAUUUUUUCUCAAAAAUUGAUCUUAAAAGUGGCUAUUAUCAAAUCCGCAUUCAUGAGGGUGAUGAGUGGAAAACUGCUUUUAAAACCAAAUUUGGCUUAUAUGAGUGGUUGGUUAUGCCUAUGGGUUUAUCGGAAGCUCCCGGAACUUUUGUGCGUCUCAUGCAUCAUGUACUUCGACCUUACAUUGGAAUCUUUGUUGUGGUUUACUUCAAUGAUAUUCUUGUGUUUAGCAAAACCAUGAAAGAGCAUCUUGAUCAUGUUAAGCUUGUUUUGCAAACACUUCGAAAGGAAAGUCUUUAUGCCAACUUGAAAAAAUGCACUUUUGGCGUUGACAAAGUGGUUUUCUUGGGUUUCGUUGUCUCUUCCGAGGGUGUCCAUGUUGAUGAAACUAAAAUUGAAGCAAUUAAAACUUGGCCCCAACCCACCAAUUUGCAACAAGUGCGAAGUUUCCUUGGUCUUGCAAGAUUUUAUCGUCGCUUUGUGAAAUAUUUUAGCACAAUCACCGCUCCUUUGCAUGCUUUGAGCAAGAAGAAUACUCCUUUUGUUUGGGGACCUUUGCAGUCAACCGCUUUUGAUGAGCUCAAGUCUUUGCUUACUCAUGCUCCGAUUCUUGCUUUGCCCAAUUUUGACAAAACUUUUGAGGUUCAUUGUGAUGCAAGUGGUACCGGAAUUGGCGGAGUUUUGAUGCAAGAAAAACGAGCCAUUGCUUAUUUUAGUGAAAAACUUUCCGGUGCUCAACUUAACUAUCCCAUAUAUGACAAAGAAUUGUAUGCUUUAGUGCGUGUACUACAUGUUUGGGAACAUUAUCUUAGACCUCAUGAGUUUGUCAUCCAUACCGAUCAUGAAACGCUUAAGUACUUGAAAGGUCAAACUAAAUUGAACAAGCGUCAUGCCAAAUGGAGUGAAUUUAUUGAAUCUUUCCCAUAUGUGAUCAAGUACAUUAAGGGUAAGGAAAAUGUAGUUGCCGAUGCAUUUUCACGCAUAUGCACGCUUGUCACGCAACUUGAGUUGAAUGUUAUUUGCUUUGAGAAAAUAAAAGAUUUGUAUUCUAAUGAUCCAUCUUUUGCACCUCAUUAUGCUAAAUGUUUGACGCAUACAUCUUGGGAACAAUAUUACCUCAAGGAUGGUUAUCUUAUGAGAGCUAACAAACUAUGCAUCCCGAGUCUUCUCUUCGUUUGCUCCUUUUGCAAGAGGCUCAUGGCGGUGGACUCAUGGGACAUUUUGGACGUGACAAGACCUUCACCACGCUCUCCAAGAACUAUUUUUGGCCCAAGAUGUUUCGCGACGUCUCACGCUUCACCACAAGAUGCUCAACAUGCCGCAAAGCUAAGUCAAAAGCUCAAUCUCAUGGUCUUUACAUGCCUCUUCCUAUUCCUUAUCAACCUUGGGAAGACAUUAGCAUGGACUUUGUACUUGGUUUGCCUAGAACUCAAAAUGGAAAGGAUUCCGUGUUUGUUGUUGUGGAUCGAUUUUCUAAGAUGGCACAUUUCAUUCCUUGCAACAAGGUAGACGAUGCUUCACAUAUUGCAAAUCUCUUUUGUAGGGAAAUCUUGCGCCUCCAUGGAGUACCAAAGACAAUCGUCUCAGACCGCGACGUCAAGUUCUUGAGUUACUUUUGGAAGACCCUAUGCGCCAAGCUCGGAAUCAAGCUCUUGUUCUCAUCCGCAUACCAUCCUCAAACCGACGGCCAAACGGAGGUGACGAACCGGACGCUCUGCGCUCUACUUCGUGUGUUGAUCAAGAAGAACAUCAAGGAGUGGGAGGCGUGUCUACCCAUCGCCGAGUACGCCUACAACCGUGCAAGACAUUCGACGACCGGCAAGUUCCCCUUCGAGGUCGUCUACGGCUUCAACCCGUUGUCACCAUUGGACAUUCUACCUCUACCUCUACAAGAGCGCACCAACCUCGACGCAAGUGCCCGUGCAAGCUACAUCAAUAAGAUGCAUGAAGAUACAAGAACCACCAUCGAGCGCCAAGUACAACGACUAGCGACCAAGCUCAACAUCAACAAGCAACCCAUGAUCUUCAACAUAGGUGAUCUCGUGUGGCUACACCUUCGCAAGGAACGCUUCCCCAAUGAACGCAAGUCCAAACUACUACCUCGAGCCGAUGGACCCUUCAAGGUGUUAGCACGCUACAACAACAACGCCUACAAGCUAGACCUACCAAGCGACAAGUACAAUGUCAGCGAAACAUUCAACGUCAAAGACCUUUUGCCUUUCCAUGGUGAUGAAGAUCUAGAUCCGAGGUCGGAUCCUUUCGAAGGGAGGGGAUAUGAUGCGGAGCAUCCUUCCAUCAUCCCCAUGGACUCUACAUCAACACAUCCAACCCCUCAAGGACCUAUGACUCGAGCACGUGCAAGAGCUCUUGAAACUGAGGUGACAUCACUCCUCUCACAAUUCCCUUUCGAUUCACAUGAGACAUGGUCACUACCUCAAACAGAAAUGCUAUGCAUACUCAGGUACAAAGGAGUCAACCAUGAAGAGGCUAGGAAGCAAGGAGAACCGGAAGCGGAAGGCAUGCAUGAAGACGGAGAAGAAAAAGUAGCAAGGACCAGAGUGGCCGGACGAUCUGGACGGCGGCCCGGAUGAUCCGGACAGAGCCCGGAUGAUCCGGACCCCGGUCCGGACGAUCCGGCUAACUCCACCGAAGGCAACAGAAGCUCCCUCCCGAAGCCGGAUCAUCUGGACCCCGUCCCGGAUCAUCCGGACCCCGCCCGGACGUCCAGACCACCAGCCGGACAUCCGGCCCUGCGCCACCACCAGCCGAGCAGCCGGCUCAUCCGGGCGUCCACCCGGAUCAUCCGGACCAGCCCGGAUCAUCCGGACCCUCGUCCUGAUCAUCUGGCCAGCGCCUGCGUGCGCGUGUUGGGCUGAGCCCAUGUACCCUUUCGCCCCCAACUCUAUAUAUAGGACCCCAUCUCCUCACUUUGAGACUUAGCAUUGGAUUAGCUCAUAUUUGUGUGAGAGCCUUUGCUCAUCCACUCGGUUACUUCUCCUCGGAGAUCAGGACCUCUUCGGAGAAGAUCCCCCAGCGGAUUCAAGACCCCUAUCUAGGGAAGAACAUCAAGGCCUCCUCUUGGAGAUGAACGGUUCCUUUGUAUCCUUACCUUUGUUGACUUUGUAUCUUGUGGAUCUCUUAUGUGUGUGGUGAUCUAGCACUUGUGUGAUCGAUUCCUUGUUGGUUGAGUGAUUCUCUCUCGUUCUCCCCGUGUUUCCCCUCGUGCUUCCG